Molecule: unclassified non-coding RNA, 371 nt
Filed under: soil metagenome
Description: partial contains 5.8S ribosomal RNA, internal transcribed spacer 2, and large subunit ribosomal RNA
Rfam family: 5.8S ribosomal RNA (bases 1-120)
Source: RNAcentral
GAUGAAGAACGUAGCGAAAUGCGAUAAGUAAUGUGAAUUGCAGAAUUCAGUGAAUCAUCGAAUCUUUGAACGCACAUUGCGCCCCCUGGAAUUCCGGGGGGCAUGCCUGUUCGAGCGUCUCAGGGACGAACCCUCGCGCGGGUGUACGCGCGGUCGUGGCUGCGGUGGCGUGCCCGAGGCGGCGGCCACCGCGCUGGAAUCCAUGGGCGGACGCCUGCCGCGUGGCCGAGCGUGAUAUGACGCAUUGGCGCUCGCACGCGGAGAGGCUGCCAGCCCUGGCCCGUCUGUCGGGCGGGGGAGAGCAAGACACGUGAACUCCUCGAAUCAGGUAGGGAUACCCGCUGAACUUAAGCAUAUCAAUAAGCGGAGGA